UACGGGGGGAGCAAGCGUUGUUCGGAUUUACUGGGCGUAAAGGGCGCGUAGGCGGCCACCGCAAGUCAAUUGUGAAAUCUCCGGGCUUAACUCGGAAAGGUCAACUGAUACUGCGGGGCUGGAGUGCGGAAGGGGCAACUGGAAUUCUCGGUGUAGCGGUGAAAUGCGUAGAUAUCGAGAGGAACACCUGCGGCGAAGGCGGGUUGCUGGGCCGACACUGACGCUGAUGCGCGAAAGCCAGGGGAGCGAACGGG
This 254-nucleotide ribosomal RNA is filed under the name uncultured bacterium. Its description in RNAcentral is "partial 16S ribosomal RNA". It matches the Rfam family "Bacterial small subunit ribosomal RNA", at positions 524 to 776 of the family's 1533-position model. The record is from RNAcentral.